Molecule: unclassified non-coding RNA, 334 nt
Filed under: soil metagenome
Description: partial contains 5.8S ribosomal RNA, internal transcribed spacer 2, and large subunit ribosomal RNA
Rfam family: 5.8S ribosomal RNA (bases 1-120)
Source: RNAcentral
GAUGAAGAACGUAGCGAAAUGCGAUAAGUAAUGUGAAUUGCAGAAUUCAGUGAAUCAUCGAAUCUUUGAACGCACAUUGCGCCCGCCAGUAUUCUGGCGGGCAUGCCUGUUCGAGCGUCAUUUCAACCAUCAAGCCCUGCUUGCGUUGGGGUCCUGCGGCUGCCCGCAGGCCCUGAAAACCAGUGGCGGGCUCGCUAGUCACACCGAGCGCAGUAAUACAUCUCGCUUUGGGCGUGCGGCGGGUUCUUGCCGUUAAACACCCCCUUUUUACCAAGGUUGACCUCGGAUCUGGUAGGAAUACCCGCUGAACUUAAGCAUAUCAAUAAGCGGAGGA